Molecule: RNA transcript, 1491 nt
Organism: Pristis pectinata (smalltooth sawfish)
Lineage: Eukaryota; Metazoa; Chordata; Chondrichthyes; Rhinopristiformes; Pristidae
Gene: phospho2
Gene name: phosphatase, orphan 2
Exons: 4
Source: RefSeq, a predicted model, not a curated record
GCGGCGGCUGCGCCUGGUCCAGGUCCGGGUGGGGUUUUCCGGCUGCUUGUCGGUGCUGUCGCUGUUCAGUCCUGCUUAUUUCCAGAGUCGAGUCAAGGAUUCGUAUUAAAUGAAGGUCUUUUGGAUUUAAACGUUGGGAAGCUGUAUCCAGACAAUGAAGAGUUUACUCGUCUUUGAUUUUGACCACACAAUUGUAGAUGGGAACAGUGAUACUUGGGUUGUGAGAUGUACUCCUGAAAAGAAACUUCCAGAUUGGCUUCGUAAAAAAUACAAUGGAAAACACUGGAAUGAAUACAUGAGAGAAGUCCUUGGUUACAUUGGAGACCAAGGAAUCAAAGAACCUGAAAUAAAACAGGUUAUGGAAUCCAUACCAUAUUGUCCAGGAAUGAUUGACCUCCUGAAGUUCAUCUGCCAAAACAAGGAUCGAGUUGACUGUAUAAUUAUUUCUGAUUCUAACACAGUUUUCAUCAGUUGGAUCUUAGAAUUUACAAAUACAAGCUUAGCUUUUGAUAGCAUUCUUACAAAUCCAGCAACUUUUGAUGAACAAGGUUAUCUUAGAAUUGAGAAUUUUCAUUCUCAUAAUUGUCCACAAUGUCCUGAUAAUCUUUGUAAGAGAAAAGCAUUAGUUAACUUUGUUGCUGAUCAACUUAAAGUGGGAGUACAGUAUAAGAAAAUCAUUUACACUGGUGAUGGAGGAAAUGACUUGUGCCCAAUUGAAAGUCUGGAGGAGAAUGAUGUUGCUAUGGUCAGAAAGGGAUACAAGUUGGAAAAGCUGAUUGGUGAAAUGGUUGAAAGACACUCUUGUUCUGUAAAACCAUUGAUAAUGAUAUGGUCUUCAGGUGAAGAAAUCCUGUCUUACUUGAAAAAAUGUUUAAUGACUUAACAUGGUACGGUACCAGCACGGUAGCAUAGCAGUUAGCAUAACGCUAUUACAGCGGCAGCGAUCAGGGUUCAAUUCCCAUCGCUGUCUGUAAGGAGUUUGUACGUUCUCCCCGUGCCUGCGUGGGUUUCCUCCGGGUGCUCCGGUUUCCUCCCACGUUCCAAAGACGUACGGGUAGGUUAACGUGGGUUUAAAUGGGCAGCGUGAACUUGUUGGGUCGGAAGGGCCUGUUACCAUGCUUCCGAAGUAUCCUACUAGAGAAGCAAGGACUGCAGAUGCUAGAAUCUGGAUGAAAAACACUGUGAUGCUGGAGGAACUCAGCAGGCCAGGCAGCAUCCAUGGAGAAAAGCAGGUGGUCAACAUUUCGGGUCAGGACCCUUCUUCAGGAAGAUAGGAAAAGGGGAAGCCCAACAUAUAGGAGGUAGAAGAUACAGGAACCUGAGGGCACAUACCACUAAGGACAGCUUCUACCCCACUGUGAUAAGACUAUUGAACGGUUCCCUUAUACAAUGAGAUGGACUAUGACCUCAUGAUCUACCUUGUUGUGACCUUGCACCUUAUUGCACUGCACUUUCUGUGUAGCUGUGACACUUUACUCUGUACUGUUAUUG